CCCAGACUCCUACGGGAGGCAGCAGUGAGGAAUAUUGGUCAAUGGGCGAGAGCCUGAACCAGCCAAGUCGCGUGAGGGAGUACUGCCCUAUGGGUUGUAAACCUCUUUUGUCGGGGAGCAAAAGCCGGACGUGUCCGGCUGUGAGAGUACCCGAAGAAAAAGCAUCGGCUAACUCCGUGCCAGCAGCCGCGGUAAUACGGAGGAUGCGAGCGUUAUCCGGAUUUAUUGGGUUUAAAGGGUGCGCAGGCGGAUUUUUAAGUCGGCGGUCAAAUCGUGGGACUCAACCCCAUCCAGCCGUUGAAAUUGGGGAUCUAGAGUGUGCGAGAGGUAUGCGGAAUGCGUGGUGUAGCGGUGAAAUGCAUAGAUAUCACGCAGAACCCCGAUUGCGAGGGCAGCAUACCGGUGCACAACUGACGCUCAGGCACGAAAGCGUGGGUAUCGAACAGGAUUAGAUACCCCCGUA
This 463-nucleotide ribosomal RNA is filed under the name uncultured bacterium. Its description in RNAcentral is "bacterial SSU rRNA". It matches the Rfam family "Bacterial small subunit ribosomal RNA", at positions 330 to 792 of the family's 1533-position model. The record is from RNAcentral.